GCCUGGGUUGCUCAGUGUUUGAGCGUCUGCUUUCGGCUCAGAUUAUGAUCCCUGGGUCCUGGGAUCGAGUCCCACUUCAGGCU
Molecule: transfer RNA, 83 nt
Filed under: Canis lupus familiaris (dog)
Lineage: Eukaryota; Metazoa; Chordata; Mammalia; Carnivora; Canidae
Also listed under: 1 other name
Rfam family: tRNA
About the family: Transfer RNA (tRNA) molecules are approximately 80 nucleotides in length.
Source: Rfam by way of RNAcentral